GAUGAAUGCUGGCGGCGUGCCUAAUACAUGCAAGUCGAGCGAACAGACGAGUAGCUUGCUCCUCUUACGUUAGCGGCGGACGGGUGGGUAACACGUGGAUAACCUAUCUAUAAGACUGGGAUAACUUCGGGAAACCGGAGCUAAUACCGGCUCAUAUAUCGAACCGCAUGGUUAAAUAGUGUAAGACGGUUUUGCGGGCACUUAUAGUUGGAUCCGCGCCGCAUUAGCUAGUUGGUAAGGUAACGGCUUACCAAGGCGACGAUGCGUAGCCGACCUGGGAGGGUGAUAGGCCGCCCUGGAGCUGGAACACCGACCCGACUCCUACGGCAGGCAGCAGUAGGGAAUCGUACGCAAUGGGGGAAAGCCUGACGGAGCAACGCCGCGUGAGUGAUGAAGGUCUUCGGAUCGUAAAACUCUGUUAUUAGGGAAGAACAAAUGUGUAAAUAGCUAUGCACGUCUUGACGGUACCUAAAGAGAAAGCCACGGCUAACUACGUG
Molecule: ribosomal RNA, 497 nt
Filed under: uncultured bacterium
Lineage: Bacteria
Description: partial 16S ribosomal RNA
Rfam family: Bacterial small subunit ribosomal RNA
Source: RNAcentral